RNAcentral lists this ribosomal RNA (740 nucleotides) under uncultured bacterium. RNAcentral's name for it is "bacterial SSU rRNA". It matches the Rfam family "Bacterial small subunit ribosomal RNA", at positions 64 to 841 of the family's 1533-position model. The record is from RNAcentral.
GAACGAGAAAGCCGCAAGGCAAGUAAAGUGGCGUACGGGUGAGUAACACGUGGAUCAUCUACCCUCUGGUGGGGAAUACCGAUGGGAAACCGUCGACAAUACCGCAUAAGCUCGAGAGAGGAAAGCAGCAAUGCGCCGGAAGAGGAGUCCGCGGUCGAUUAGUUAGUUGGCAGGGUAAAAGCCUACCAAGACUGUGAUCGAUAGCCGGCCUGAGAGGGCACACGGCCACACUGGCACUGAAACACGGGCCAGACUCCUACGGGAGGCAGCAGUGGGGAAUCUUGCACAAUGGAGGAAACUCUGAUGCAGCGACGCCGCGUGAGCGAUGAAGGCCUUCGGGUUGUAAAGCUCUUUCGGCAGGGAAGAUUAUGACGGUACCCGCAGAAGCAGCUGCGGCUAACUACGUGCCAGCAGCCGCGGUAAUACGUAGGCAGCAAGCGUUGUUCGGAGUUACUGGGCGUAAAGGGUGUGUAGGCGGUCCUCUAAGUUUGGUGUGAAAUCUCCCGGCUCAACUGGGAGGGUGCGCCGAAAACUGGAGGGCUAGAGUGCGGGAUGGGAAAGUGGAAUUCCUGGUGUAGCGGUGAAGUGCGUAGAUAUCAGGAGGAACACCUGUGGUGUAGACGGCUUUCUGGACCGCAACUGACGCUGAGACACGAAAGCGUGGGUAGCAAACAGGAUUAGAUACCCUGGUAGUCCACGCCCUAAACGAUGCAUAUUUGGUGUGGGUCAUUCAUUUGAUC